Molecule: ribosomal RNA, 731 nt
Filed under: uncultured bacterium
Lineage: Bacteria
Description: bacterial SSU rRNA
Rfam family: Bacterial small subunit ribosomal RNA
Source: RNAcentral
ACGGGUGAGUAAUGCUUGGGAAUCUGGCUUAUGGAGGGGGAUAACGACGGGAAACUGUCGCUAAUACCGCGUAGAGUCGAGAGACGAAAGUGCGGGACCGCAAGGCCGCAUGCCAUAGGAUGAGCCCAAGUGGGAUUAGGUAGUUGGUGGGGUGUGGCUGGUAGGGCAGGCAACGCCUCACCUAUGCGACGAUCAGAAAACGGUCUGAGGACAUGAACGGCCCCCUUGGGACUGAGACACGGCCCAAACUCCUACUGGAGGCAAUAGUGGGAAAUCUUCCAUCUUGGCCGCCAACCUGACCGAGCAACGCCAAGGGUUUGAAAAAGGUCUUCUCAUCGGAAAGAUCUGUUGAAGUGGACGAACGUGCCUAAUGCGAAUAGACUGAAUCAAUGACGGUACCCAUCGAGGAUCCACGGCUAAAUACGUGCCAACACCCGCGGUAAUAGCUAUGUGGCGAUCGUUGACCGGAAUCAUUGCGCCUAAAGGGAUAUCAGGCAGACUUGUAAGUCUUUCUUACUAAAUAUGUGGAUCAACCUGAAACAUGUGAAAGAGACUAUGUGUCUUGAUUACAGGAUACCAAAGCGUAAUUCCGAUUGUAGCAGUGAAAUGCAUAAAUAUUGGCGAGCAACAGCGGCAGCUCAAGGCUGUUUUCGACUACUGAAGCUGACACUGAAGCUCAACAACCAUGGGUAGCAAACCGGAUUAGAUACCCCCGCUAACCUGGACGUAAC